RNAcentral lists this ribosomal RNA (406 nucleotides) under uncultured bacterium. RNAcentral's name for it is "partial 16S ribosomal RNA". It matches the Rfam family "Bacterial small subunit ribosomal RNA", at positions 30 to 526 of the family's 1533-position model. The record is from RNAcentral.
AUUGAACGUUGGCGGCAGGCCUAACACAUGCAAGUCGAACGAGUGGCGGACGGGUGAGUAAUGUCUGGGAAACUGCCCGAUGGAGGGGGAUAACUACUGGAAACGGUAGCUAAUACCGCAUACCAUCGGAUGUGCCCUGAUGGGAUUAGCAAGUAGGUGGGGUAACGGCUCACCUGGGCGACGAUCCCUAGCUGGUCUGAGAGGAUGACCAGCCACACUGGAACGAAGACACGUUCCAGCCUCCUACGGAAGACGGCGGUGGGUAAUAUUGCAAAAUGGGGGCAGGCCUGAUGCAGCCAUGCCGCGUGUAUGAAGAAGGCCUUCGGGUUGUAAAGUACUUUCAUCGAGAAGGCGUUACUCGCAGAGAAAGCACCGGCUAACUCCGUGCCAGCAGCCGCGGUAAUAC